RNAcentral lists this ribosomal RNA (366 nucleotides) under uncultured eukaryote. RNAcentral describes it as "partial 18S ribosomal RNA". It matches the Rfam family "Eukaryotic small subunit ribosomal RNA", at positions 592 to 976 of the family's 1831-position model. The record is from RNAcentral.
CAAUAGCGUAUAUUAACGUUGUUGCAGUUAAAAAGCUCGUAGUUGGAUUUCUGGAGGGAGCGUCGGCCCGUAUUUACGAGUGCGUGACGUCUCUGUCCAUCCUUGCGGGAUGGCACGGCAUUGAUUUGUUGUGUCGGAUCGCAUCAUUUACUGUGAAAAAAUUAGAGUGUUCAAAGCAGGCUUUCGCUUGAAUACAUUAGCAUGGAAUAAUAAGAUAGGACUUUGGUGCUAUUUUGUUGGUUGAGCCUAAAGUAAUGAUUAAUAGGGAUAGUUGGGGGCACCUGUAUUGCGUUGUCAGAGGUGAAAUUCUUGGAUUUACGCAAGACAAACAGCUGCGAAAGCGUCUGCCAAGGAUGUUUUCAUUAA